GGAGAGUAGGCGAAUGUUGGUUUGUCGCGUGCGUUUGCUAAACGCAUCUGGCGUAAGCCAGCGAGAGUUCGAUUCUCUCAUUCUCCG
RNAcentral lists this transfer RNA (87 nucleotides) under Chloroflexota bacterium. Its description in RNAcentral is "Chloroflexi bacterium (groundwater metagenome) tRNA-Ser". It matches the Rfam family "tRNA". Rfam says of the family: Transfer RNA (tRNA) molecules are approximately 80 nucleotides in length. The record is from RNAcentral. Lineage: Bacteria; Bacillati; Chloroflexota.